AUUGAACGCUGGCGGCAGGCCUAACACAUGCAAGUCGAGCGGUAGCACAGAGAGCUUGCUCUCGGGUGACGAGCGGCGGACGGGUGAGUAAUGUCUGGGAAACUGCCUGAUGGAGGGGGAUAACUACUGGAAACGGUAGCUAAUACCGCAUAAUGUCGCAAGACCAAAGUGGGGGACCUUCGGGCCUCAUGCCAUCAGAUGUGCCCAGAUGGGAUUAGCUAGUAGGUGGGGUAACGGCUCACCUAGGCGACGAUCCCUAGCUGGUCUGAGAGGAUGACCAGCCACACUGGAACUGAGACACGGUCCAGACUCCUACGGGAGGCAGCAGUGGGGAAUAUUGCACAAUGGGCGCAAGCCUGAUGCAGCCAUGCCGCGUGUGUGAAGAAGGCCUUCGGGUUGUAAAGCACUUUCAGCGGGGAGGAAGGCGGUGAGGUUAAUAACCUCAUCGAUUGACGUUACCCGCAGAAGAAGCACCGGCUAACUCCGUGCCAGCAGCCGCGGUAAUACGGAGGGUGCAAGCGUUAAUCGGAAUUACUGGGCGUAAAGCGCACGCAGGCGGUCUGUCAAGUCGGAUGUGAAAUCCCCGGGCUCAACCUGGGAACUGCAUUCGAAACUGGCAGGCUAGAGUCUUGUAGAGGGGGGUAGAAUUCCAGGUGUAGCGGUGAAAUGCGUAGAGAUCUGGAGGAAUACCGGUGGCGAAGGCGGCCCCCUGGACAAAGACUGACGCUCAGGUGCGAAAGCGUGGGGAGCAAACAGGAUUAGAUACCCUGGUAGUCCACGCUGUAAACGAUGUCGAUUUGGAGGUUGUGCCCUUGAGGCGUGGCUUCCGGAGCUAACGCGUUAAAUCGACCGCCUGGGAAGUACGGCCGCAAGGUUAAAACUCAAAUGAAUUGACGGGGGCCCGCACAAGCGGUGGAGCAUGUGGUUUAAUUCGAUGCAACGCGAAGAACCUUACCUGGUCUUGACAUCCACAGAACUUUCCAGAGAUGGAUUGGUGCCUUCGGGAACUGUGAGACAGGUGCUGCAUGGCUGUCGUCAGCUCGUGUUGUGAAAUGUUGGGUUAAGUCCCGCAACGAGCGCAACCCUUAUCCUUUGUUGCCAGCGGUUAGGCCGGGAACUCAAAGGAGACUGCCAGUGAUAAACUGGAGGAAGGUGGGGAUGACGUCAAGUCAUCAUGGCCCUUACGACCAGGGCUACACACGUGCUACAAUGGCAUAUACAAAGAGAAGCGACCUCGCGAGAGCAAGCGGACCUCAUAAAGUAUGUCGUAGUCCGGAUUGGAGUCUGCAACUCGACUCCAUGAAGUCGGAAUCGCUAGUAAUCGUAGAUCAGAAUGCUACGGUGAAUACGUUCCCGGGCCUUGUACACACCGCCCGUCACACCAUGGGAGUGGGUUGCAAAAGAAGUAGGUAGCUUAACCUUCGGGAGGGCGCUUACCACUUUGUGAUUCAUGACUGGGGUGA
RNAcentral lists this ribosomal RNA (1463 nucleotides) under uncultured Klebsiella sp. RNAcentral's name for it is "bacterial SSU rRNA". It matches the Rfam family "Bacterial small subunit ribosomal RNA". Lineage: Bacteria; Pseudomonadati; Pseudomonadota; Gammaproteobacteria; Enterobacterales; Enterobacteriaceae. The record is from RNAcentral.